UACGGAGGGUGCAAGCGUUGUUCGGAAUUACUGGGCGUAAAGCGCGCGUAGGCGGUUGUAUAAGUCAGAUGUGAAAGUCCAUGGCUCAACCAUGGAAGUGCAUUUGAAACUGUAUAACUUGAGUACUGGAGGGGGUGGUGGAAUUCCCGGUGUAGAGGUGAAAUUCGUAGAUAUCGGGAGGAAUACCGGUGGCGAAGGCGACCACCUGGCCAGAUACUGACGCUGAGGUGCGAAAGCGUGGGGAGCAAACAGG
This 253-nucleotide ribosomal RNA is filed under the name uncultured bacterium. RNAcentral's name for it is "partial 16S ribosomal RNA". It matches the Rfam family "Bacterial small subunit ribosomal RNA", at positions 524 to 776 of the family's 1533-position model. The record is from RNAcentral.